GGACAAGGGUAUUUGAAGGAUGAGUAAGAGUUCACCACACAAGAAAGGGUGGAACAGAGAAAGCUCCACCCAGAAAGUGCACAAGGCAUGGAACAAAAGCAGAGUGAUGCAAGACAGUGUAUCUCCGGAACUGCAAGCAUUUUGGUAAGGUGGAAGCAGAAGUGUGUGUGAAGGAAGAAUGUAGGAUGAGUUGAGAGGGGUAGGAGACAGAUCAUCUAAAAGAGCCUCAGGAUCAAAAGAAGCUUUAGAGUCUUUCCUGUUGCUAUCGACCCAUUGAGAUCGGCUCUGCAGCCAGAGGCCUCGCUGUGAUCCGCCGAACGCCAGGGAUUAGUGAAGAUUCCACAAGAGAUUUGAACAGUACCCAUCUCAAUGUAGGUUGCUGCAAGGUUUGAUGCUUUAAUGACAUCAUGAAGGACCCAGCCAUUCCAUCUCUCUGCUUUGCAUUCCUCAAUGUGUCAGCUUUGUGCCAGAGUCACAAGACGGCUACACUCCUCCAGGCAUUGUAUGCAGAUAUAACGACAUACCCCAAAAGAAGAGAAGACUUCUCCAGAAGCCUCCCAGGAGACCUUCACACAUGGCUUAUUAGAUCAGAGCCCCUCCUUAAACCAAUCACUAAAAAGGAAAAUGGAAUUGCCAUGAGUGGCUCAGCAAAAUCAUGAUUUACCCCUGGAUGGGAAUCAGGGUCACCUUCAAAGAGCAUAUGGACAUGUGAAGGAGCAUAAACACAAUCACAAAAUUGGGGCUCCCACCAUCGGUUGCAGAGGCAGUCGGCAGUGUCUGCUACAAGUGACAUCAAGUAGCAUCUAUCAAGUGGCAUUACUUUAACAAAUAUUAACAAUAGGGUCCUCAUCUCAGUUUAGAAGAAAAAUCCAAAAUCAAAGUAGACUGAAGAUAAGGUAAACGGUGAUGUUUGCCACACUAGUGGUGAGGUUUUCAUAGUUUUACCCAAACCAGUUUUUAUUUUUAGUGCUUGGUUGGGGUCACUGAAACUUCCAGGUUGUCCUAACCUGUUAAAAUCUUUUAAAACAUUAUUUGUGACUGUUUCUCUUUGGACAGUGCUUUUUGUUAAUCACAAAAAACAGGGUAGAAGGUAAUAACACAUGCAAAGGGAUGUGUAGCAAUCAAAGGGAAAUGUUAUCCUUCCUAGGAGACAGGAUUUAUGGGAUUCCUGGAUCUUUUUUGUGUCUGAUUGUUAAGGUCUUGACAGCCUUUCAAUUGAGGAAUACGGUCGUGUCUGUUAAACUAAUUGUAGCUGUUCACUCCACUAUAUAAUUUUACAACAUUUCAGCUUCAAAUAGAAUGGCUUCAAUAAACAUAAAGCAGACUGACACAUCCCAGAUUUCUGCAGUUUAUUUUACACCAAGAAAUUACAUUUAGAGAUUUCCAGACACAUACUAUAAAUGAAAAUUCAACAGGAAGUUUCUUUCAUUUCCUCUAGAUCUGACCUAUAUUUCAAAAAUAUAUGAGUGGGCUAUAACCAGGAACUUCUUCUCUUGCUCCCAUUAUUCACACCGUUUUCUGAAGAGUUUUUUUCUCGUCCGCGACUCUAAUGGCCAUUAAGGGAAUUGCAGACAUUGGAAGACUAUACAACCCUAAGUGAAAUGAGUGAAAUGAUAAAUGUUAUCCACAAGAUGGCCAAAUUGUAUGGUUCUGGGCUACCUAUCUCCAUCAGAUUAACUAGAAAAGCUAGACCUCCUCGUGCUUUUAGCAUGAAAUAGACAACACUCAUCCUUUUCCAUUUAUACAAC
This 1748-nucleotide long non-coding RNA is filed under the name Homo sapiens (human). RNAcentral describes it as "HSALNT0078510". The record is from RNAcentral. Lineage: Eukaryota; Metazoa; Chordata; Mammalia; Primates; Hominidae.